RNAcentral lists this ribosomal RNA (351 nucleotides) under Brevibacillus sp. Its description in RNAcentral is "bacterial SSU rRNA". It matches the Rfam family "Bacterial small subunit ribosomal RNA", at positions 1105 to 1454 of the family's 1533-position model. The record is from RNAcentral. Lineage: Bacteria; Bacillati; Bacillota; Bacilli; Caryophanales; Paenibacillaceae.
UUAUUUUUAGUUGCCAGCCUUCAGUUGGGCCCUUUAGUGAGACUGCCGUGCGUCAAGCACGGAGGAAGGCGGGGAUGACGUCAAAUCAUCAUGCCCCUUAUGACCUGGGGUACCCACGUGGUACAAUGGCUGGUACCACGGGACGCAAGCCCGGGAGGGUAAGCCAAUUUCUUAAAACCAUUCUCAUUUCGGAUUGCAGGCUGCAACUCGCCUGCAUGAAGUCGGAAUCGCUAGUAAUCGCGGAUCAGCAUGCCGCGGUGAAUACUUUCCCGGGCCUUGUACACACCGCCCGUCACACCAGGAGAGUUUGCAACACCCGAAGUCGCGUGAGGUAACCGCAAGGAGCCAGCC